Molecule: ribosomal RNA, 253 nt
Filed under: uncultured bacterium
Lineage: Bacteria
Description: partial 16S ribosomal RNA
Rfam family: Bacterial small subunit ribosomal RNA
Source: RNAcentral
UACGGAGGGGGCUAGCGUUGUUCGGAAUUACUGGGCGUAAGGCGCACGUAGGCGGCUUUGUAAGUUAGAGGUGAAAGCCCAGGGCUCAACCCUGGAAUUGCCUUUAAGACUGCAUCGCUUGAACAUCGGAGAGGUAAGUGGAAUUCCGAGUGUAGAGGUGAAAUUCGUAGAUAUUCGGAAGAACACCAGUGGCGAAGGCGACUUACUGGACGAUUGUUGACGCUGAGGUGCGAAAGCGUGGGGAGCAAACAGG